Molecule: long non-coding RNA, 716 nt
Filed under: Mus pahari (shrew mouse)
Lineage: Eukaryota; Metazoa; Chordata; Mammalia; Rodentia; Muridae
Description: predicted gene 43118 (MGP_PahariEiJ_G0003149.1)
Source: RNAcentral
UGGCAAGUAAACCAGGUGCUUUAAAUUCAUCACACAUCCCUCAGUCUCCACAGCUGUUAGAACAACACGGGAGUCCACACCAGGCUCUCGUUUCCUUGUGUGCCCAAGCUCCCAAGGAAACUAUGGCUGUCUUUGAGUUGGUUUCACUGGGGAAGGCUGGGCUCUCCAGUGCCAGGGUUAGAACCCAGGGUUUGCUGCUGAGGGCAACAGGCAGUGCAAUGCAGUGGGAAUCUCUGCCAUUGCUCCCAUGGGACACAGGGCAGGGCGGAGGGGACAUGAAGGCCAAGUCUGCCAACAAAGGGGUCACUCCCGUGCUCUGACGGCAGGGUGCUGUGUUCUGGGGUGGAGGUUAAAAAGGCAGUGUGUAACCUGAAGGAUUCAACAGUGUGGUUCUGGUCAGGGUCCCAGGGCUAACAAGAGGAAACAGCAUCAGACAGAAAGGUCAUAAGGAAAGAAAAGUCUACCCAGCUACUGCUCCUUUCUCUUAAAGGAAAAAGCAUAGGCAGAAGAGGAGGAGCAACCCGGGGGAAGCAGAAUUGGCAGCAGCGCUCAGGUCUAAGACCUGGGUCACACUCAAGCUCUUCCUAGCUCUUCAUUUCCUCCUGGCUUGGACUGCAACAGAAAAAGAGCUCUCCCACCCUGUGAGCUGAGAGCAAUACAGACCAUCCACAAAGUCUCCAGGCUGUAAUUCCAGAAAAGCCAUCUCAGAAACAAAA